Molecule: long non-coding RNA, 263 nt
Filed under: Hordeum vulgare
Lineage: Eukaryota; Viridiplantae; Streptophyta; Magnoliopsida; Poales; Poaceae
Description: long non-coding RNA (HVUL_LNC003384)
Source: RNAcentral
AGAUCUAGCCGUGUAGGUGUCCGAAGCAUCCAAUGACCAAGCGAAAUUGUCAUGCACUUCAGUGUUUCGCUCGACAUGGGCAAUCUGGAGUCUCAGGUGCAUGAGCUGAAUCAAGGCCAUGAAAGGGGAUUUCUUCAUAAAUAUCCACCUCCCAUCUGCUGUGAGUGAGAGCUUUUGCCACCGUACGGUGAUAUUGGGCGCGCAAAAGAACCAGAGAGAUAUAUCUGGAGAGCAGCCGACGAUAGUCUUGCCAUGGAGCCAUC